Molecule: transfer RNA, 71 nt
Filed under: Ictidomys tridecemlineatus (thirteen-lined ground squirrel)
Lineage: Eukaryota; Metazoa; Chordata; Mammalia; Rodentia; Sciuridae
Description: Spermophilus tridecemlineatus (thirteen-lined ground squirrel) tRNA
Rfam family: tRNA
About the family: Transfer RNA (tRNA) molecules are approximately 80 nucleotides in length. Their secondary structure includes four short double-helical elements and three loops (D, anti-codon, and T loops).
Source: Rfam by way of RNAcentral
UGGGGUGUAGCUCAGUGAUAAAGCACUUGCCCAGCAAGCACGAGGCCCGGGUUCCACUCCCAGCACUGCAC